GGGGCCGCGCGGCAGCGGCGUGAGGUCGGUCUCCGCCGGCCGCUGGGGUGAGGUGAGGGGGUCGUUCCCUUCACGGUUGCCGCGUCUCCAGACAGACGGGAGCUGGGAGCGAGUGGCUGAAAGCCGGGAUUCCCCGAGUUGCCGGGGCUGUAACUGUGUUUUAGGCUGGUAUCAGGUGUGCGCUUUCCAUAGAAUCAUUAAGGUUGGUAGAAAACUACAAGACCACCUCUUCAAACCGCCUGCCCAUCACCACCGUGCCCACUAAACCACGUCCCUCAGCGCCCUGUCUGCGCCUAUUUCGAACGCUUCCAAGGGACGGCGACUCCACCACUUCUCUUUGAAAAACAGUGGAUUUGGAAACGUAAGAAGAGAAAGAAUUCAGGCUGCAGUUCCUUAGCUCAGAGCAAGAUAACAGAUAAUGCAAGAAGAGCGUAAUCCCAUUCAACAGAAUUGGUAAGAUUCUGUUUGAAUUGCAUUAACUUGCUGAGAGCGGCGUUCUUCAAGUGGAAGGCGCUCACCGGAGGGCUGCAGAGAAGGCCACUCAUCAGGUACCAGCUCCAAUUUGCUUUCAGCUGCUCAGCCCCGUAAGUGUUUUAUGUGACUGUGUCUCAACUGUACGUGCUGCCACUGCUCUAAACUCAGGAAGGAAGUGGGAGCAGCAGGACAAGAAUAUUUCUGUAGUACAACUGUCUGUGGAAGCCUCUCUUGGCUAAAUUACAGUCUAUAGGGAAGGAGAUGAGAAGCCUGUAGGGAAGAGCAAUAACCAUUUUAGAAGCAGCUUCAUGUGGCUGCAGUCGGUACGAGUCUGAGCCGGGUAAUUUUUGCUGUCUGAACAUCUGACUGAGAAUGGUGAGAUGGGGUUUCUAUGGGAAAAAUCCAGUGGGAUUCAAGAUGAGAAUGCACAAAGCAGCGUCUCCACACCUUAGAAGUCUCCUGUUCUGGAAGAGAAACAAGCCCAGCACUCUCAUGUAAAAAAAAAACCCAAAAACUGCAACUCUACAAAAAGAAUGCUACUUUUAUUUUCAAAUGCUGUAAAAAGCCUCAUAUAAAUUUUUAUAAUGCUUCUAUGUAACUUUCCCAACCACAACUAAUGAAAUAGUCUAGGAAAAAUAUAGCAGUCGCCAUUUUGACUCCAAGAACAAGCUGCUGUAAUAUAUCAACAUUAAAAUGACAAAGUACAGUAUGUUACAAUGCUUGUAAUUGCUCGUGUUAUUGAAAAAGUGAGAGCACUUCCUAAGCAUUACAGUAUAACUGGGCUAAACAGCAGUAUUCCCUACUUGCCAUCACAGAGGAAAGUCACCUUGUUACAAGGAGCCAACACAACGCCCUUGUACUGCUUACGCCCAUUCCUCUUAGUAGAGUGGAGAGCUUUGAGCAAGCCCCUUUGCACUUAGGUGAAUCCACCCACAUCAUGCUGCUAUUCCAUACUGUAUCCGACGACUCAGGUGUUUGACAAUUGACCUAUAAAAAUAACACUUACAUAACUCUCCAGCAAGGCAAAUUUAACAGUGCAAAUGCAGUAUCAACAAUAUUUGAUUCGUGAAUGCUGGCAAUUCUUUUUAAAAACCCCUUUUGUACAUGAAGCAACCUGCGCUGCCGUGCUGUACCCGAGGCCACGCACUCGUGCCAAUUCGAGAUGGAACAAAGUGCAAAAGCUCAGCUGUGUUUUCCGAUCCAAACUUCCUCCUCCGUUUUGGCGUAUUCAGAUCCAGAAUUCGGAUUCAGGCUCACUGUUUCCACUGACGCACUCAGGUUUUCCCUGCUGCAAUCUCCCCAGCAAACCUCUGAUAACGAUUUGCGUACAGAAAUCCACAUUUAAACGAAGUUAACAACGCUCACUUCCAGAAAAUAAACUUUGACAUGGUUGCAAUCAUCAAGCCAUUUCAGGAUCUUUGGUACUCCAAGAAUACAAAAAAUAAAUGGCACAGUGACAAACAUCACCGAAGGAAGAAAAUAAAAACAACCAUCCAAACAAAUAAGACCAAAAGAACAAAGCAAGAGAUAUGUCGCACUUCCACUUGUUGAAAGCCAGUGUAGAUCAACCUUCUGUUCUCUUCAAUCUAUUACAGUGUCACAGUUUUACCUUUAAAAAGAGUCUAUAUUCCUAAAAGCAGUAGUUAAUAUUUUGUUUAACUCGACUUAUCCAUUAAAAUAACGCUAUGUUUUCCAAAAAAAUAAAUUCAACUACCACGAUACAGGAGUUUACGCUAAGUAGGCUGCAGGCUGUUUCCCAAAGGAUGCAACUCCUAUGUGAGCACUGAUAUGAUUAACCGUCCUCAAUUGUAGAUGCUUAUUAUCUUUAGUGUUACGAGUACAAGGAUUGAGCUUUUUCCCCAGUCUGUAAACUAGUGAAUAUGUACAGACGUAGUUGUAUAAUAGAUAGCUUCAAAUUAAAUGUGUAUUUAUCUGCCCUCCCUCAAACCCCACAGGAAAAAAAAAAAACAA
Long non-coding RNA from Gallus gallus (chicken), 2445 nucleotides. RefSeq lists it as uncharacterized. The record is from RefSeq and is a predicted model, not a curated record. The transcript has 2 exons. Lineage: Eukaryota; Metazoa; Chordata; Aves; Galliformes; Phasianidae.